This 476-nucleotide ribosomal RNA is filed under the name uncultured eukaryote. Its description in RNAcentral is "bacterial SSU rRNA". It matches the Rfam family "Eukaryotic small subunit ribosomal RNA", at positions 650 to 1121 of the family's 1831-position model. The record is from RNAcentral.
GGUGUGGUGCGUCUGGUCGCUGCGAGCAAUCGUGGGUGUGUACCGGUGUGCGUGCCUGCCAUUCGGGUUGUUGUACAUCGAAAGGUGUAUGGUAAGCCCCGUUUACUUUGAGUAAAUUAGAGUGUUCCAAGCGGGCGAUGGUGCCGUGAAUACAUGAGCAUGGAAUAAUGAGAUAGGACUCGGGUUCUGUUUUGUUGGUUUUCCGGUGAUCUGAGUAAUGAUUGAUAGGGACAGUUGGGGGGUGCUAGUAUUCAACGGCCAGAGGUGAAAUUCUUGGAUUCGUUGAAGACUAACUUGUGCGAAAGCAUUCACCAAGGAUGUCUUCUUUAAUCAAGAACGAAAGUUGGGGGGAUCGAAGACGAUCAGAUACCGUCGUAGUCUCAACUAUAAACGAUGCCAACUAGGGAUACGUGGACGUUUGUUCGAAGACUCCAUGUGCACCUGACGAGAAAUCCAAGUUUUUGGGUUCCGGGGGG